This is a small RNA of Photorhabdus luminescens, 130 nucleotides long. It matches the Rfam family "EFASI RNA". NCBI's taxonomy places the organism in Bacteria, Pseudomonadati, Pseudomonadota, Gammaproteobacteria, Enterobacterales, Morganellaceae. The record is from Rfam.
UUGAACCGAUACCGAGGCAGGCCAACAGCCUGAGGGGAUAACCUGCAAUCGCAGGAGGCUGCACAGAGUGCAUUACCGAUGCCCCGCAAUACCUCAACUGCUGCCCGCUCUGGCGCACAGGUAUCGUUCA